GCCGGGUGUGGUGGCGGGCACCUGUAGUCCCAGCUGCUCGGGAGGCUGAGGCAGGAGAAUCACUUGAACCCGGGAGAUGGAAGUUGCAGUGAGCUGAGAUUGUGCCACUGCACUUCAGCCUGGGUAACAGAGCGAGACUCCGUCUCCA
This 148-nucleotide non-coding RNA is filed under the name Gorilla gorilla gorilla (western lowland gorilla). Lineage: Eukaryota; Metazoa; Chordata; Mammalia; Primates; Hominidae. The record is from Rfam by way of RNAcentral.